AACGAACGCUGGCGGCAGGCCUAACACAUGCAAGUCGAACGCCGUAGCAAUACGGAGUGGCAGACGGGUGAGUAACGCGUGGGAACAUACCCCUCGGUUCGGAAUAACUCAGGGAAACUUGAGCUAAUACCGGAUACGUCCAAGGUUUUAAUCGACCUUGGAGAAAGAUUUAUCGCCGGAGGAUUGGCCCGCGUCUGAUUAGCUUGUUGGUGAGGUAAUGGCUCACCAAGGCGACGAUCAGUAGCUGGUCUGAGAGGAUGAUCAGCCACAUUGGGACUGAGACACGGCCCAAACUCCUACGGGAGGCAGCAGUGGGGAAUAUUGGACAAUGGGCGUAAGCCUGAUCCAGCCAUGCCGCGUGAGUGAUGAAGGCCU
This 375-nucleotide ribosomal RNA is filed under the name uncultured bacterium. RNAcentral's name for it is "bacterial SSU rRNA". It matches the Rfam family "Bacterial small subunit ribosomal RNA", at positions 29 to 417 of the family's 1533-position model. The record is from RNAcentral.